AGUCUCGUUUGUUAGCCAAGAAUGACUUGCCUGCUUCGUGCAAGAGGCUUCAAUUAUGAUCGCCAUUCCCAUCGAUUGAUGCACACAAUUGCAUGGUCACCAGGCAGGUCAUCCUGGCUUAUCUAAUGUGCUCU
This 134-nucleotide microRNA precursor is filed under the name Eucalyptus grandis. Lineage: Eukaryota; Viridiplantae; Streptophyta; Magnoliopsida; Myrtales; Myrtaceae. The record is from RNAcentral.